GGUCCCCACUCUCUACUAACCAAUGCCCAAUGGCAAGCAGCCAACUGAGCCAAAGUCCAAACACUGUCCUAGCUUCCCAUUUUUUCAACGGAUUUAUUUCCAAUUUCAACGAGCAACGAGCCAACGACUAUAAUAUUUUUCAAUUCCAAGUUUCUAACACAUAAUCACAAUUCACAAAUUCUAAAAACUAUAUAUACUCCUUCUUUUUAUACUUUUAAUUACAGUUUAUAUAUUUACAGUAGUUAACAAUUAAGAAUCAUCAAUUUCUCUCAAUUCUCA
RNAcentral lists this long non-coding RNA (279 nucleotides) under Solanum tuberosum (potato). RNAcentral describes it as "long non-coding RNA (STUB_LNC001055)". The record is from RNAcentral. Lineage: Eukaryota; Viridiplantae; Streptophyta; Magnoliopsida; Solanales; Solanaceae.